Molecule: small RNA, 185 nt
Filed under: Pan troglodytes (chimpanzee)
Lineage: Eukaryota; Metazoa; Chordata; Mammalia; Primates; Hominidae
Description: processed transcript
Source: RNAcentral
AACAUCCUCCUGGAUUCAAUCAUGGCUUGUGGUCUGGUCGCCAGCAACCUGAAUCUCAAACCUGGAGAGUGCCUUCGAGUGCGAGGCGAGGUGGCCCCUGACGCUAAGAGUUAGGUGACCUUGGACCAGUCAACCAACCUCACCUAGCCUCAGUUUGUUAGAAAAACAAGGGGGGAGGUGGUUGU